GACGAACGCUGGCGGCGUGCUUAACACAUGCAAGUCGAACGGAAAGGCCCUGCUUUUGUGGGGUGCUCGAGUGGCGAACGGGUGAGUAACACGUGAGUAACCUGCCCUUGACUUUGGGAUAACUUCAGGAAACUGGGGCUAAUACCGGAUAGGAGCUCCUGCUGCAUGGUGGGGGUUGGAAAGUUUCGGCGGUUGGGGAUGGACUCGCGGCUUAUCAGCUUGUUGGUGGGGUAGUGGCUUACCAAGGCUUUGACGGGUAGCCGGCCUGAGAGGGUGACCGGCCACAUUGGGACUUAGAUUCGGGCCAGGAUCCUACGGGGGGCAAGAGGGGGGGAUUAUGGCAAAUGGGCGGAAGGCUGAUGGAGGAACGGCGGGUGGGGGAAGACGGCCUUCGGGUUUGAAACCGCUUUCGCCUGGUACGAAGCGUGAGUGACGGUAAUGGGUAAAGAAGCACCGGCUAACUACGUG
Molecule: ribosomal RNA, 468 nt
Filed under: uncultured bacterium
Lineage: Bacteria
Description: partial 16S ribosomal RNA
Rfam family: Bacterial small subunit ribosomal RNA
Source: RNAcentral